AUCUGUGCCAGUUCUUUUGACUGUGCCAGCUGAAAAUACGCUCAUGAUAAACAGUACGCAAGAAGACCCUAGAAAAUUAUUUUAAAACGUAAUAUAAAUACUAUUAUUUUGUUGGGGCGACAGAAUAACAUCUAAACUUAUUUUAAUUUAUUAAGAAUUAUUUAUAAUGAGAAAAUAAAUUACUCUAGGGAUAACAGCAUAAUUAUUUUAUAGUUUGUGACCUCGAUGUUGGAUUAAGGAGGGUUUUAUUCAUAAGGUAAAACACCAUGUUCUGUGCGAACAAACAACCCUUACAUGAUCUGAGUUCG
RNAcentral lists this ribosomal RNA (308 nucleotides) under Humboldtiana oreina. Its description in RNAcentral is "partial 16S ribosomal RNA". The record is from RNAcentral. Lineage: Eukaryota; Metazoa; Mollusca; Gastropoda; Stylommatophora; Humboldtianidae.